GCGCUCAUUUCCGCAGCACCUACACUUGAAAUUGGAACGACACUGAGCAGAUUAGCAGGGCUCUUGCACAAGGAUGACGUGCAAAUUCAUGAAGCAUUCCAUACACAC
Molecule: small nuclear RNA, 108 nt
Organism: Echinops telfairi (small Madagascar hedgehog)
Lineage: Eukaryota; Metazoa; Chordata; Mammalia; Afrosoricida; Tenrecidae
Source: Ensembl